This 201-nucleotide long non-coding RNA is filed under the name Lathyrus oleraceus (garden pea). Its description in RNAcentral is "Pisum sativum (pea) long non-coding RNA (PSAT_LNC018456)". Lineage: Eukaryota; Viridiplantae; Streptophyta; Magnoliopsida; Fabales; Fabaceae. The record is from RNAcentral.
AUUGAUUGGAGAUCCGAAGUAUCAACAGAAGUUCAUACCCUACACACUGAAGCUACAACUCUUUUUGCCCAACUGGUAUUAUACCAAGUUUGUAUUUAUAUCUAUCUAUGAAAUUUGUUGGAUUGGUUGCUUGAUAUUCAUGAAUUUGAUGUAAAUGUCUAGUUCUUGUUACUUGUUGAAUGAGUGAAUUUUUAAUCCUCU